UACGUAGGGUGCGAGCGUUGUCCGGAAUUAUUGGGCGUAAAGAGCUCGUAGGCGGUUUGUCGCGUCUGCUGUGAAAACCGGAGGCUCAACCUCCGACCUGCAGUGGGUACGGGCAAACUAGAGUGCGGUAGGGGAGAUUGGAAUUCCUGGUGUAGCGGUGGAAUGCGCAGAUAUCAGGAGGAACACCGAUGGCGAAGGCAGAUCUCUGGGCCGUAACUGACGCUGAGGAGCGAAAGCGUGGGGAGCGAACAGG
This 253-nucleotide ribosomal RNA is filed under the name uncultured bacterium. RNAcentral's name for it is "partial 16S ribosomal RNA". It matches the Rfam family "Bacterial small subunit ribosomal RNA", at positions 524 to 776 of the family's 1533-position model. The record is from RNAcentral.